RNAcentral lists this ribosomal RNA (497 nucleotides) under uncultured bacterium. RNAcentral's name for it is "partial 16S ribosomal RNA". It matches the Rfam family "Bacterial small subunit ribosomal RNA", at positions 28 to 507 of the family's 1533-position model. The record is from RNAcentral.
GAUGAACGCUGGCGGCGUGCCUAAUACAUGCAAGUCGAGCGAACGGACGAGAAGCUUGCUUCUCUGAUGUUAGCGGCGGACGUGUGAGUAACACGUGGAUAACCUACCUAUAAGACUGGGAUAACUUCGGGAAACCGUCGCUUAUACCGGAUAAUAUUUUGAACCGCAUGGUUCAAUAGUGAAAGACGGUCUUUCUGUCACUUCUAGAUGGAUCCGCGCUGCAUUAGCUAGUUGGUAAGGUAACGGCUUACCAAGGCAACGAUGCAUAGACGACCUGAGAGGGUGAUAGGCCACACGGGAAGUGAAACAGGGACAAGACGCCUACGAGAGGCAGCAGAAGGGAAUGGGCCGCAAUGGGCGAAAGCAUGACGGAGCAAGGCCGCGUGAGUGACGAAGGUCUUGGGAUCGGAAAACUCUGUUAUUAGGGAAGAACAGAUGUGGAAGGAACUGUGCACAUAGUGACGGUACCUAAUCAGAAAGCAACGGCUAACUACGUG